RNAcentral lists this ribosomal RNA (468 nucleotides) under uncultured bacterium. RNAcentral describes it as "partial 16S ribosomal RNA". It matches the Rfam family "Bacterial small subunit ribosomal RNA", at positions 28 to 507 of the family's 1533-position model. The record is from RNAcentral.
GAUGAACGCUGACAGAAUGCUUAACACAUGCAAGUCUACUUGAAUUUGGGUUUUUUAACUUAGAUUUGGGUGGCGGACGGGUGAGUAACGCGUAAAGAACUUGCCUCACAGCUAGGGACAACAUUUGGAAACGAAUGCUAAUACCUGAUACUAUGAUUAUAAGGCAUCUUAGAAUUAUGAAAGCUAUAUGCGCUGUGAGAGAGCUUUGCGUCCCAUUAGCUAGUUGGAGAGGUAACGGCUCACCAAGGCGAUGAUGGGUAGCCGGCCUGAGAGGGUGAACGGCCACAAGGGGACUGAGACACGGCCCUUACUCCUACGGGAGGCAGCAGUGGGGAAUAUUGGACAAUGGACCAAGAGUCUGAUCCAGCAAUUCUGUGUGCACGAUGACGUUUUUCGGAAUGUAAAGUGCUUCCAGUUGGGAAGAAAAAAAUGACGGUACCAACAGAAGAAGUGACGGCUAAAUACGUG